UCCAGACUCCUACGGGAGGCAGCAGUGAGGAAUAUUGGUCAAUGGGCUUACGCCUGAACCAGCCAAGUCGCGUGAGGGAAGACUGCCCUAUGGGUUGUAAACCUCUUUUGUCAGGGAGCAACGCCGGCUACGUGUAGCCGGACUGAGAGUACCUGAAGAAAAAGCAUCGGCUAACUCCGUGCCAGCAGCCGCGGUAAUACGGAGGAUGCGAGCGUUAUUCGGAUUUAUUGGGUUUAAAGGGUGCGUAGGCGGACUGGAAAGUCAGCGGUAAAAUCGGGAGGCUCAACCUCUUUCCGCCGUUGAAACUGUCGGUCUUGAGUGGGCGAGAAGUAUGCGGAAUGCGUGGUGUAGCGGUGAAAUGCAUAGAUAUCACGCAGAACUCCGAUUGCGAAGGCAGCAUACCGGCGCCCGACUGACGCUCAUGCACGAAAGCGUGGGUAUCGAACAGGAUUAGAUACCCUAGUA
This 465-nucleotide ribosomal RNA is filed under the name uncultured bacterium. RNAcentral's name for it is "bacterial SSU rRNA". It matches the Rfam family "Bacterial small subunit ribosomal RNA", at positions 330 to 792 of the family's 1533-position model. The record is from RNAcentral.